AUUGAACGCUGGCGGCAGGCCUAACACAUGCAAGUCGAACGGGUGGCGGACGGUUGAGUAAUGUAUGGGACACUGCCUGAUGGAGGGGGAUAACUACUGGAAACGGUAGCUAAUACCGCAUAACAUCAGCUGUGCCCAGAUGGGAUUAGCUAGUUGGUGGGGUAACGGCUCACCAAGGCGACGAUCCCUAGCUGGGCUGAUAGGAGGACCAGCCACACUGGAACUUAGACACGGUCCAGACUCCUACGCGAGGCAGCAGUGGGGAAUAUUGCACAAUGGGCGCAAGCCUGAUGCAGCCAUGCCGCGUGUAUGAAGAAGGCCUUCGGGUUGUAAAGUACUUUCAGCGGGGAGGCGUUACCCGCAGAAGAAGCACCGGCUAACUCCGUGCCAGAAGCCGCGGUAAUAC
RNAcentral lists this ribosomal RNA (406 nucleotides) under uncultured bacterium. RNAcentral's name for it is "partial 16S ribosomal RNA". It matches the Rfam family "Bacterial small subunit ribosomal RNA", at positions 30 to 526 of the family's 1533-position model. The record is from RNAcentral.